This 253-nucleotide ribosomal RNA is filed under the name uncultured bacterium. Its description in RNAcentral is "partial 16S ribosomal RNA". It matches the Rfam family "Bacterial small subunit ribosomal RNA", at positions 524 to 776 of the family's 1533-position model. The record is from RNAcentral.
CACGUAGGUGGCUAGCGUUGUCCGGAUUUACUGGGCGUAAAGGGCGUGCAGGCGGUUCGUUAAGUUCAGGGUGAAAGCUCCCGGCUCAACUGGGAGAGGUCCUUGGAUACUGGCGGACUCGAGGGAGGUAGAGGAGAGUGGAAUUCCCGGUGUAGUGGUGAUAUGCGUAGAUAUCGGGAGGAACACCAGUGGCGAAGGCGGCUCUCUGGGCCUUUCCUGACGCUGAGACGCGAAAGCGUGGGGAGCGAACCGG